RNAcentral lists this ribosomal RNA (515 nucleotides) under uncultured bacterium. Its description in RNAcentral is "partial 16S ribosomal RNA". It matches the Rfam family "Bacterial small subunit ribosomal RNA", at positions 28 to 523 of the family's 1533-position model. The record is from RNAcentral.
GAUGAACGCUGGCGGCGUGCCUAAUACAUGCAAGUCGAGCGAAUGGAUUAAGAGCUUGCUCUUAUGAAGUUAGCGGCGGACGGGUGAGUAACACGUGGGUAACCUGCCCAUAAGACUGGGAUAACUCCGGGAAACCGGGGCUAAUACCGGAUAACAUUUUGAACCGCAUGGUUCGAAAUUGAAAGGCGGCUUCGGCUGUCACUUAUGGAUGGACCCGGGUCGCAUUAGCUAGUUGGUGAGGUAACGGCUCACCAAAGCAACGAUGCGUAGCCGACCUGAGAGGGUGAUCGGCCACACUGGGACUGAGACACGGCCCAGACUCCUACGGGAGGCAGCAGUAGGGAAUCUUCCGCAAUGGACGAAAGUCUGACGGAGCAACGCCGCGUGAGUGACGAAGGCUUUCGGGUCGUAAAACUCUGUUGUUAGGGAAGAACAAGUGCUAGUUGAAUAAGCUGGCACCUUGACGGUACCUAACCAGAAAGCCACGGCUAACUACGUGCCAGCCGCCGCAGUAA